RNAcentral lists this transfer RNA (88 nucleotides) under Gammaproteobacteria bacterium. Its description in RNAcentral is "tRNA-Ser". It matches the Rfam family "tRNA". From Rfam's summary of the family: Transfer RNA (tRNA) molecules are approximately 80 nucleotides in length. Lineage: Bacteria; Pseudomonadati; Pseudomonadota; Gammaproteobacteria. The record is from RNAcentral.
GGAAGUGUGACAGAGAGGCUAAAUGUGCUCCCCUGCUAAGGGAUGCGUCCGAAAGGGCACGAGGGUUCGAAUCCCUCCGCUUCCGCCA